This is a long non-coding RNA of Oncorhynchus nerka (sockeye salmon), 285 nucleotides long. RefSeq lists it as uncharacterized. The transcript has 4 exons. NCBI's taxonomy places the organism in Eukaryota, Metazoa, Chordata, Actinopteri, Salmoniformes, Salmonidae. The record is from RefSeq and is a predicted model, not a curated record.
GAAGACCACAGAGAGUUCCCCCAACCUCUCUACAGGGACACCUUCCUGUCUCCACCCAUCAGGACACAAGCAGAGCCCCUCAGCGGAGUCAUCGAGGGCAUCAGCGCCGGAAUGUUCCUCAUCGGAAUGUUGAUCGCCGUCAUCUCCCUCCUCGUCUACAGGCAGAGAAUCCGUAAAGUGGCAGUACAGGAGAGCCCAGUGGUACGGAUGAGCAUGUGGAAGCAGGGGCCUACAUCAGGGAUGUACGUUGGAGUCAGAAGCAACCGACGCAUCUCAAGGUGCGUC